This is a long non-coding RNA of Onychostruthus taczanowskii (white-rumped snowfinch), 1769 nucleotides long. RefSeq lists it as uncharacterized. The transcript is spliced from 5 exons. Lineage: Eukaryota; Metazoa; Chordata; Aves; Passeriformes; Passeridae. The record is from RefSeq and is a predicted model, not a curated record.
GGGUUGUCCAUGCGGUGGCCUGAGGGUCAUCCAAGGUAGUCCAGGGGUCAUCCAAGGUGGCCUGAGGGUCAUUCCAGGUGGUCCACAGUGGCCUGAGGGUCAUUCCAGGUGGUCCACGGUGGCCUGAGGGUCAUUCCAGGUGGUCCACGGUGGCCUGAGGGUCAUUCCAGGUGGUCCACGGUGGCCUGAGGGUCAUCCGAGGUGGUCCACGGUGGCCUGAGGGUCAUUCCAGGUGGUCCACGGUGGCCUGAGGGUCAUUCCAGGUGGUCCACGGUGGCCUGAGGGUCAUUCCAGGUGGUCCACGGUGGCCUGAGGGUCAUUCCAGGUGGUCCAUGGUGGCCUGAGGGUCAUUCCAGGUGGGCCAGGGUGGCCUGAGGGUCAUCCGAGGUGGGCUGGAGUAGCCCAUAGUGGCCUGAGGGUCGUUCCAGGUGGUCCAAGGCUCAUUCCAGGUGGUCCAAGGGUCAUCCAAGGUGGCCUGACGGUCAUUCAAGGUUGGCCAGGGUGGUCUGAGGGUCAUUCAAGGUGGUCCAAGGGUCAUGCAACAUGGUCCAGGGUGGCCUGAGGGCAUUCGAGGGGGUCCAAGGGUCAUUCAAGGUGGUCCAAGGGUCAUGCAGCAUGGUCCACGGUGGCCUGAGGGACAUUCGAGGUGGGCCAAGGUGGCCUGAGGGACAUUCCAGGUGGUCCAAGGGUCAUCCAAGGUGGUCCACAGUGGCCUGAGGGUUAUUCAUGGUGGUCCAAGGUGGUCCAAAGGUCAUCCAGCAUGGUCCAAGGUGGCCUGAGGGUCAUCCAGGGUGGUCCAAGGGUCACUCAAGGUGGUCCACAGUGGCCUUGAGGUUCAUUCCAGGUGGUCCAAGGGUCAUCCAAGGUGGCCUGAGGGUCAUUCCAGGUGGUCCAGGGUGGCUUGAGGGACAUUCGAGGUGGUGCAAUGGUCAUCCAACGUGGUCCAAGGUGGUCCAAGGGUCAUGCAAGGUGGGCCAGGGUGGCCUGAGGGUCAUUCAGGGUGGUCCAGGUUGGCCCAAGGAGGCCCAAGGUGGUUGAAGGUCUGGCCAAUGUCAUGCAAGGUGGCCCCAGCUCCAUCUGAGGUUGCCCAAGCUCCAUCCCAGAAGAUCCAGGGUGGCCCAACGUGGUCCAAGAUGGCCCCAGGUUCUUCCAAGGUUGGCCCAGGGUCCGUCCCAGGAGAUCUGAGGUGGCCCAAAGUCCAUCCGAGGUGGCCCAAGCUCCAUUUGAGGUUGCUCAAGCUCCAUUCCAGGAGAUCCAAGGUGGCCCAACAUAGUCCAAGAUGGCCCCAGGUUCUUCCAAGUUGGCCCAGGGUCCAUCGCAGAAGAUCCAAGGUAGCCCAGGGUCCACCCGAGGUGGCCCAGGAUCCAUCCCAGAAGAUCCAAGGUGGCCCAAAGGUCCUUCUGAGGUGUCCCAAGCUCUAUCCCAGAAGAUCCAAGGUAGCCCAGGGUCCACCCGAGGUGGCCCAGGAUCCAUCCCAGAAGAUCCAAGGUGGCCCAAAGGUCCUUCUGAGGUGUCCCAAGCUCUAUCCCAGAAGAUCCGAGGUGGCCCAAGCUCCAUCCGAGGUGGCCCAGGAUCCAUCCCAGAAGAUCCAGGGUGGCCCCAGCUCCAUCCGAGGUGGCCCCAGCUCCAUUCAAGGUGGCCCAACAUGGUCCAAGAUGGCCCCAGGUUCUUCCAAGGUGUCCCCAGCUCCACCCGAGGUGACCCCAAGGCCACCAGAAGCCACCUGAGACCACCGGGGCUCCUCAGAACCCCCAGACCCAAAAUCCCAC